This 958-nucleotide long non-coding RNA is filed under the name Gossypium raimondii (Peruvian cotton). RNAcentral's name for it is "long non-coding RNA (GRAI_LNC002293)". Lineage: Eukaryota; Viridiplantae; Streptophyta; Magnoliopsida; Malvales; Malvaceae. The record is from RNAcentral.
UUCUUCCUUCCCCGUUCAGCCCUCCUCUUCCUCUGCUUUCACCGACGGUGACCUGCUGACCAGCGACGGCCGGCGGUGGCGCGCACGGUGGUUUCCUCUUCCCCCCUUUUCUUCUUUUUCUUCUUUGCUCUUUCUUUUUUUCACUUUUUUGCUUGUUGUUUUUUUCCUUUUUGCUUCUUGGUUGUUUUUGCUAGGUGUUGGGACGGUGGUGACAGGUGGUGGGCACGGUGGCGCGCGGUGGAGCUACUAUUUUCCUUGUGUUUUGCUAUUUUAAAAAAAAAUUUAUUUGUUGCCCGAAUCCCCCUCUUUCUCUCAUUUUCUUCUUUUAAAUCCUUCAAUUUUGUCUUAUUCUUUAUUUUCAGGUGGCAGCGGAGGAGGGGGAGCAUGCCCAACAGCCGAUUUGGGGUGUCAGGCGUGGAGAGCGGGGCACGCCCGAAUGCUGACUGGGGGCAUCUUGUCAUGCCCAGAAGGACCAAAUUGUAAAGGGUGCAAAGUUUCUGGGGCAAAAAUGUAAUUUUAGGAAAAUAUGGGGCCAAAAUGUAAUUUAUAGAAAGUUUAGGGGCCCAAAUGAAAAUUUAAGAAAGUUAAAAGGUCAAAAUGUAAAUGUAGGAAAGUUUAGGGUCCAAAAUGCAAUUUUAAAAAGUUAAGGGGUCAAAAAAUAAUUUUAAAAAAGUUUAAGGGUCAAAAUGCAAUUUUUUAUUUAAAAAAACACGAAAAUUAAUCCCGGACAAAAUUCAGUGAUUACAAUUUCACUAUUUAUAUUUAUUUAUUUAUUUAUUAUGCCUAAGCUCAAUGUUAUUUAUAUUAUUUUAUCUUUAAAAUAUUAAAUCUAGUAUUAUAUAUUUAUUUAUUCAUUCACGUAUUUAUUUUUAUAUUUAUCUAUCGGUUUAUUAUUCAUUUCUUAUCCUUAAAAAUUUAUUUGUUUAUAAUCUGUUAAUCACAGAAUUUAUCAUCAUCA